UCCCUGGUGGUUCAGUGGUUAGGACUCUGUGCUGUCACUGCUGAGGUCCCAGGUUGAAUCCCUGGUCAGGGAA
Bos taurus (domestic cattle) is the source of this 73-nucleotide non-coding RNA. NCBI's taxonomy places the organism in Eukaryota, Metazoa, Chordata, Mammalia, Artiodactyla, Bovidae. The record is from Rfam.